This 4204-nucleotide long non-coding RNA is filed under the name Physcomitrium patens. Its description in RNAcentral is "long non-coding RNA (PPAT_LNC001170)". Lineage: Eukaryota; Viridiplantae; Streptophyta; Bryopsida; Funariales; Funariaceae. The record is from RNAcentral.
UCAAUUCCUCAUUGGGCCCGCACUCAUCCACAUUGACAUGGAUGCUGAAUUUUGUAAAAUAUAAAAAAAAAAUUAAAAUUUAAAAAUAAAAUAUCAUUUAUUUAUUUAUUUUUAAGUGAUUUUCUAAAAAAUAUAAUUUUAAUUCAAUUUUAUUGUACAUUAUUUAAUGAACACAAUAUUUUAAUAAAAGUAUAAAGGUGCAUUUAGCGUAAUUAUAGUGCUAAAAAUGAAAAAUAUAUUUAAUUUUUUAAAUUUAAAUAGUUAAUUAUUUAAUUAUUUUUAAAAAUAAAUUAUAUUAAUAUUAUAAAUUAUAAAAACUAAAAUACUUAAAAAGACUAAUAUUAUGUCAAGGAUAUGAAUUUUAAAGAACUAAAAGAUCAAUAAAUUCUUGUGUCACUCAAAAAGAUUGAAAAAGCACUCAAAUCUGUUAUAAUAUGAAAUAAGAGUGGCUAUUCUCAAAGACAAGAAGAAAAAAGGUCUUAAAAUAAGAUUAAAGAUUAGAAAGGUGUUGAUAAGAGUGAAAAAGGCUUCACUCUUGGCUCUACAUAUAUUAUCUAAUUAGGAGUUAUGUGGCAAUGUUCUACAAGACCUCCAACACAUAUCCAAUUUGCAACACAAUUUGCAACUUGCAAGGUAAGUUUCCUAUAUGCACGCCACAUUGUUAGCUUGUAUCACAAGCUAUCUAUAUGUGUAAUACAUGGCUUAUUUGGUCAAGUUUCCAACUUAUCAAUCAACUAUAAACAUGUAUAAAGUCAAAUAUGAAUCUAUGAAGCUUCUAAAAAGCUUUGUCAUAAAAUAUAUAUAUUAAACUCAAAACUAAGAUAUUUUAUACAUUACUAAAUUUUAAAGAUUAUUAUCUUAAAUUUGAACUAUUUUGUUAUCAUAAAACUAAAAUCCAUUUAUUUUAAAAUAUUUUUUUAUUGAAAUAAUAUAUAUAUAAUAUAUAUAUUUUAAAAUCAUCUAAAUAAUUAUACUUAUAAUUUUUAAAUCUAGUUUUAUGUAAUAUAUAUAUAUAUAUAUAUUUAUAUAUUUAAUAUUUAAUUAAAAAUUCAAAUACUACAUAAAAAUAUUAUGAGUUGCAAGAAUUCUUCUACAAAACAAAAGUAUCAUGUACACUAUAUGCUAUUGUAUACAAUAACAAAAAAGAAUUAUUUGAAGUAAGUGUGAUCACUAAAAAGUAGAAUUUAGAGGCAGCCCUUGAAAAAAAUUUAAUACUCAUGUAUUUAAAUUUAGGAUCUGAAUGAGCCUAUUGAGGAAUAGCUUUGAAUUCCCAACUUGCAUCCCUCCAACCUGCUUACUCUUGUGGUUUCUUAUGUUUUCUCUCUCCGUUCAUAGAAAUCCAAUGAGUGAUUGAGAAUUUCAUCUAAGUUGCAAUUGUAAUCCAAAGGCCCACAAUAGAAGAGCUAAUCGAUUGAAUAAGAAGAUUUUUAUAAUACAUAGUAAUAAGAAAGGAAGAAGAAGAGGCUGAGGCGGGACUGGUAUUAUAUAGGGAAAGCACUAUAGGUAGGUGAAGGUGAUAUGAUUGAAGGCAACAAACUUCUAUCAAGUGCCUCCGCUCUUUGAGCUAAUCACAUGCUAGCUAGAUUUCAUUGAUUGUUACUAAGCCAAUCCAAAUUUUGAUUGUAGUGACAUAUGCUAGUAGAAUUUAUAAUAUUUUUAUUUUAUUUUACUAGCUAAAACUCAUAUUGUUGGCAACAAAAAAACAUUACAAAUUUUGUGUUGUAAACUUGAAGCUUCAUAUGGCAUAAAACUCUGUGCCAUUACAUAUUAUGGUGCUUGCAAGCUCCACACAAAGUGAUCUUGUAGUGCUACUCUCUGCAAUAUAUAGCAAUAAUAUGCAAAAUUUUGAUAUGCAAUUGAUUAAAAGCUAAGUUAUUGCUUCACUUUUGAUCAAUAUAAUGAAAUAUACAACCAAUCAAAGAUGGUUUUUGUCUCUUUUGGUUUAUCAUCCCUGAGCUAUUUUAUAUAAUAGAUUUUUUGCUUUUAUUUUAUAGAAAAUUUAGUUCUUUCACUUGACAGUGUUACAUUCAAUCCAACAAUCAAAUGUUACUAUUUUAUAUGAGCCGUAGAGAUCUAUUUUUUAGCCAUUGCACAAUGAAUUUAAUUAAAAAUUUCAAUUUUUAACAUAAUAACCAUAUAUCAUAACAAUAAUAAGAAUAGUGAUUUAUGAGUUUAAGCAUGUAUUAUACAAAUAAUUAUAUUAUACAUACCAAAUUUAAAACUUUUUCAUGAUUUUUAUUAAUACAUUGAUUUGAAUGAAGAAUUUUUUUUAAGCUUGGAUUUUUAGUGGUUUGUAAAUUUGACAAUAAAAAAUAAAAAUGUAAAAUACUAUAUAAUAUUAUAAAAUCUAUGGGCAAAUUAUAUUUUUUAAUAUAAAAUUCUAUUUAUUCAUUUUUUUAAUUAUUCGAAAUAACAUAUUAUUUUUUAUUUUAUUUAUUAGAUAUUUGUGUAUAUAUAUAUAUAUAUAUAUAUAUAGAUAAUUAAAAUAACAUUCAUAUAUCUCAUAAGUAUAUAUUAAGCAAGGUUAUUAAAUGCUAAUAGUUCUUUAGUAAAUUAUAAUAUGUUCAUUAGUAAUUUUAAGUAGCAUUAAAAUAUAUAUAUAUAUAUAUAUAUAUAUAUAUAUAUAUAAUUAGUUUACAAAAGAAAUAAAGGAUAAAUUUAUUUUUAUUUUAUAUAAAUAUACAUAUAUAUGAGAAUUUCUGAAUACAUUAUAUUCUAUUUAUAUUUUGAUUAGUAAUUAUGUUUAUUAUAGUUUAAUAUUUUGAUAUAUAUAUAUAUAUAUAUAUAUAUAUAUAUAUCAAUUUAAAUCAUGUUAUGUGACAAUUGUUUUCACUUUUUUAUUUAACAUAUAACAUUUGAAUAUUUAUCAAUUAUUUAUUGAUUAAUUAGUCAAUAAAAUAUCAAAAUAUUGUAACAUAUAUAUAUUUUAAAUUAUCAAACAUUAAUUAUUUUAUAUUGAAAUAAAAUUAAUGUGUUAGUUAUUAAUUAUAAUUUUCAAAAGUAAAAUAUAAAUAUUUUAUUUUUUAUAUCAAAAAAUAUACAAAACAUAUUAAAGAAGAUUUGAUAACUUUAUUUGAUGUUGAUUGCUAAUUACAAAUAAUUUUGAUGCAUAAAUAAAAAAACCCUAAUUAUCUUUUUACAAAACCUCCUUUAAAUUAUGCACCUUAAAAUAUGCACAAUAGUAUGCAUAUAUAUAUAUAUAUAUAUAUAUAUAAACUUCUCCAAUAACUGUAUAUAUUUUAUUUGUAGUUAUUUUUAGUAUAGUUUCAUUUAUACAUUAAUUUUCUAACCUUUUAUUUAUUAUCUAAUCAUUACAAAAACUAAAAAAUCUUUAGAAAAAUAUGUUUGUUUAAGAAUUUAAAUGUUGUCAAAAUUAAUAUAAAACCAUGGGAAAUGGUAAAUGAAAUAACACACAAUACUUAAGGUUUUUUUUAAUAAUUUGUUGAAAAAUAAAAUCACUAUCUCGUUAAGUUUUUGUCUCACACUGUAAUAAAAAAUCAUAUAAUAUUAACUCAAUAUUAUUGGUGCUAAGAAGCUUAAAGCAAGAUUGGCUCAACUGCAAGUCUCAAAUGUUUUCGAGUGGCGCAUCACUGACCUGUUGCAAAGGAACUUGUUGCCAUGUGGUUUUGUGAAAGGCCGUUGCAGAAUGGGAAGAUAAAGUGCCUCAACAAGCGAGGUGUGUGUUUGUCUCGUCGUGGAAGUGGUUUCUCUUCAGAGCCUAGAGAGAUCGUCAAGGAGGCCGAACCAACAGAAACUCCGUUGUUGAAACAGAAGAAGGAAGGGAUGUGCAUUUGGCUGCCAUUGUGGUGACACCGCAUCCUCAUCAUGUUGCACUGAUUCCACUCGCGAAAUCCUGGUUUUAGAAGCUGAGGCUGGCGAGAGUAUGCGCUGAGCACGCAACGAAGAUCUUGCCUCCACGACGACGAUGCCGCAGACCAAGCUCAUUGCACACCAGGGAUUCCGCCUAAAUUAGAUGGAACAGAGCACAUAUUUAGCUUCCAGUAGAUUGUGAACAGUUGAGUGGAUCCUAUUAUCGAGAGAAACUGGUUUCGCGCGUUUUUAUAGCCGCUUUUGAGUCGGCUGUUAUGUUUCGCUCAGGUUAGUGCAGAAUCUUCCGAAUGAGAAAUUUGUUUACGCUUCUGAACCACAGGAUGCUACUGAUACUGAUGUUGCAUUUUUUUCUCGGACUUGAAAUGUUAUUAAU